Molecule: long non-coding RNA, 1772 nt
Organism: Malus domestica (apple)
Lineage: Eukaryota; Viridiplantae; Streptophyta; Magnoliopsida; Rosales; Rosaceae
Source: RefSeq, a predicted model, not a curated record
UCUUCCCCAAGCUCGACAACUCUCUCUCAACUCACUUUCUCACUCCGAGCACGAAACCCCUCCCACAAACGCUAAUUUUCGAGUGAAUCCUUACCAAAAAUCCAUUUUUUAGGUGUAGCUUGACCCAUAGUUUCGAGUGGCGGUGUUGCAUGUGGAGAUUAGGCACUCUAAACCAAAGAAAACCAACCCUUCUUUCUCGGUGCAAAACUUUGCGACGAGUUAACCCGAGGCUGAAUGAGAUCAGAGUACUUCAAACUCAUUUCAACCUCCACUAAAUCUCAGAUUCCAGCGAGGGACCGUAUUGUUGCAGGUCAUUUUCUGGCAACCUUGUGGCACGGCCUAAUUCCAUUUAGGUAUGAUUGUUAGUGGCGAUCCAGUUCUCCCUAGUUCGAGCGACUCCCCAUGAGUGGAAUAUUUGUGAGUGGAUCCCUUCUCAAAUGAAUAUUUUAUAAUUAACCGUCUAGCAUGCAAACUCAUAUUUCCUAAUUUGAAUAUGGAUAUUAUGCUUUGCUUUAUAGAUUUCUAGAUGAUGAUUUAUUUAAAUUACGUUUUAUGAAACGUUAUAAACUCUUGGUUUUACACUUAUAAAAUGUUUACGACUAUUGCUUUUAUGAACUAUGAGAUAUUUCAGAUUUAUGAAAGAUUAUGGAUUUGUGAUUUAUGAGAAUGAUUGAGUAAGUUAGAUAGCUUUCAUGGUUUUAUAUGAUUUAUGAGGCGAGGUUUGAGGCUUUCAAGCUCUAAUGUUUUGGCAUGAUUUUGGAGAGAUGUUUUUAGAGAUUAUCUAGUGGGUUAUCAUACAAUACAUACAACACAUACACACACACACACACACAAGUAUAGUCUAUAGCCAUAGGACACAUAUGAGGAUACUUAUGUUAUACCCUCAGCUUUACUGGCGAAACCAGUGUCGGACAGCUUCACUAGCGAUGGCUAGUGUCGGUGUGUUUGCCAUAUAUAGAUAUAUUCCUUCUCUGGUAUAACUCAGAGUCAAACAGCUUCACCUUCGGGUGAUGGGGCCUACCAUGUUUCUUCACUAGUGUAACCUAGUGUCGUACAGCUUCACCUUCAGGUGAUGGAUAAGUGCUGCCUUCGUGCGACUAUGAUACCCCUAGAGAGUACAGUUUUUAUGGGAUUUAUGGAUUUGCCUUCGGGCGUUUCGAUCAUGUUUUAGAGAUGAUUUUACAGUUACAAACAUUUCUUGCAUGCUAGAGUUUUAGAAAAACCUAUACAUAGUAUUAUAUGUGUUUUCAAAACAUAGGGAUAUAAUUUUUAGAAAUAAAAUGAUUUUUUUAGUGAUAGUAUUAUUAUAAAUCUUGGUCCAUUCAUCUUUUCUGUUUUUGCGCCCCCUUCAUGAUUUAGAUUUGAGGCACAUGAUUCUGGCGCCAGGUCAUCUUUGCGUAGGCAUCUUCAAGUCUUUACAGCGUAGGACCCACUCCUUUAUUCAUAUAUUUUAUUGUAAUUCUUUCAUAUAUUCCUUGAUUAGUUGUAUGCUUUAAACACAUUCCGCGUUGACAUAUUUCUUUUUAAUUAUUUAUUUUCUUUGUUUCACCUGACAAAUCCUCCCUGAACAUAAACCGACGCCAUGGAAAUGACAUUUGACUUUGAAAUUUAUAUAAAACUAACUACAUAAUGGGAACCGUGGAGUCCAAACAUACAUUUUGUGUGUGUGUGUGUGUUUUUUUUUAAUCUCUGCAAGGACUUGUAGAGAACCACUGUAACAUACUUCGCUAUAAACCUCUCUGUUGUCCCGAGUGCCACCACAGAUGGUCCAC